RNAcentral lists this ribosomal RNA (460 nucleotides) under uncultured bacterium. RNAcentral describes it as "partial 16S ribosomal RNA". It matches the Rfam family "Bacterial small subunit ribosomal RNA", at positions 338 to 795 of the family's 1533-position model. The record is from RNAcentral.
CCUACGGGUGGCAGCAGUGAGGAAUAUUGGUCAAUGGGCGCGAGCCUGAACCAGCCAAGUAGCGUGAAGGAUGACUGCCCUCCGGGUUGUAAACUUCUUUUAUAAAGGAAUAAAGUGAUGCACGUGUGUCUUUUUGUAUGUACUUUAUGAAUAAGGAUCGGCUAACUCCGUGCCAGCAGCCGCGGUAAUACGGAGGAUCCGAGCGUUAUCGGGAUUUAUUGGGUUUAAAGGGAGCGUAGAUGGGUUGUUAAGUCAGUUGUGAAAGUUUGCGGCGCAACCGUAAAAUUGCAAUUGAUACUGGCAGACUUGAGUACAGUAGAGGUAGGUGGAAUUCGUGGUGUAGCGGUGAAAUGCUUAGAUAUAACGAAGAACUCCGAUUGCGAAGGCAGCCUACUAAACUGCAACUGACAUUGAUGCUCGAAAGUGUGGGUAUCAAACAGGAUUAGAUACCCUUGUAGUC